UAAGGAAUAUUGCUCAAUGGGAGAAAUCCUGAAGCAGCAACGCCGCGUGGAGGAUGAAGGGUCUAUGACUUGUAAACUCCUGUAAAGAAGGAAAAAAUUCCCAUUUGAUGGGAGAUGAUGGUACUUCUGGAGUAGGCCCCGGCUAACUACGUGCCAGCAGCCGCGGUAAUACGUAGGGGGCAAGCGUUGUCCGGAUUUACUGGGUGUAAAGGGUGCUCAGGCGGAUUUGUAAGUCAGAGGUGAAAUCUUACAGCUUAACUGUGAAACUGCCUUUGAUACUGCAAGCCUAGAGUAUGGAAGAGAGUGAUGGAAUAUCUGGUGUAGCAGUGAAAUGCGUAGAUAUCAGAUAGAACACCAAUGGCGAAGGCAGUCACUUGGUCCAUUACUGACGCUAAAGCGCGAAAGCGUGGGUAGCAAACA
This 420-nucleotide ribosomal RNA is filed under the name uncultured bacterium. RNAcentral's name for it is "bacterial SSU rRNA". It matches the Rfam family "Bacterial small subunit ribosomal RNA", at positions 355 to 774 of the family's 1533-position model. The record is from RNAcentral.